UAUUCCCUUUCCCUAUCGAGCAUUUCUGAACGGACCGUCCACGAAGUCAGUUCAAGUGCAAGUGGUGAGAAAGAACACGUGACGCCUAGGAGAGUCAGCCAUUACGUCAACAGAUUGGCUAACCCGGUACGACGUUCAAUUUGCACCGGUUGAAUUAGGCGUUAGAGAGUUAGUUCGGAUUGAGUCAGCACCCACAGUUUGCCGUGGGUCAAAAUCUAGGGUCCCAAAACCCCUCCAGGAAGGAACCGUCCGCUACGAGGUUCUCCGAUCGACUCUCCAUCAUCCUGGCACACCGGAACUGCUCGGCGCACCCUGCAC
Long non-coding RNA from Culex quinquefasciatus (southern house mosquito), 318 nucleotides. RefSeq lists it as uncharacterized. The transcript has 3 exons. NCBI's taxonomy places the organism in Eukaryota, Metazoa, Arthropoda, Insecta, Diptera, Culicidae. The record is from RefSeq and is a predicted model, not a curated record.